CACGUAGGGUGCGAGCGUUGUCCGGAAUUAUUGGGCGUAAAGAGCUCGUAGGCGGCUUGUCACGUCGGGUGUGAAAGCCCGGGGCUUAACCUCGGGUCUGCAUUCGAUACGGGCUAGCUAGAGUGUGGUAGGGGAGAUCGGAAUUCCUGGUGUAGCGGUGAAAUGCGCAGAUAUCAGGAGGAACACCGGUGGCGAAGGCGGAUCUCUGGGCCAUUACUGACGCUGAGGAGCGAAAGCGUGGGGAGCGAACAGG
RNAcentral lists this ribosomal RNA (253 nucleotides) under uncultured bacterium. RNAcentral describes it as "partial 16S ribosomal RNA". It matches the Rfam family "Bacterial small subunit ribosomal RNA", at positions 524 to 776 of the family's 1533-position model. The record is from RNAcentral.